UCUAACCGGUUACGGAGGAGGGCGCCGAAGGUGGGGCUGAUGACUGGGGUGAAGUCGUAACAAGGUAGCCGUACCGGAAGGUGUGGCUGGAUCACCUCCUUUCAAGGAGACCUACCCUACUGACUAUUGCCAAAGAGGUUAAAGAGGUGAAGUGAGUAAGGUCACCUAGGUCGAGCGAGUUAACGGUAUUGGUUUCUAGACUAGGUCGAGGUUAAGGGCUAUUAGCUCAGGUGGUUAGAGCGCACCCCUGAUAAGGGUGAGGUCCCUGGUUCGAGUCCAGGAUGGCCCACUGGAGUGGGGGUAUAGCUCAGUUGGUAGAGCGCCUGCUUUGCAAGCAGGAUGUCAGCGGUUCGAGUCCGCUUACCUCCACCAGAGGGGUGUAAGAGUUCAGCUCUUUGGCGAGGGAGUCAAAGAGCUGGGUUUAGAGCCCAGCGAGAACCUUGAAAACUGCAUAGAGAGAAGAGAGUCAAAGGUAGUUGAAGAACUGCAUAGAUGGUCAAGCUACAAAGGGCUCACGGUG
RNAcentral lists this unclassified non-coding RNA (520 nucleotides) under uncultured cyanobacterium. RNAcentral's name for it is "partial contains 16S ribosomal RNA and 16S-23S ribosomal RNA intergenic spacer". The stretch from base 1 to 102 matches the Rfam family "Bacterial small subunit ribosomal RNA", at positions 1434 to 1533 of the family's 1533-position model. The record is from RNAcentral. Lineage: Bacteria; Bacillati; Cyanobacteriota.